Molecule: non-coding RNA, 238 nt
Organism: Paramuricea clavata
Lineage: Eukaryota; Metazoa; Cnidaria; Anthozoa; Malacalcyonacea; Plexauridae
Source: the annotation of a GenBank genome assembly
CGCUCAAUACAGAGCAACCGGCUUAACGCGUCUUGUUAGCUAUAAAUAUGCAAUAUGCAUUAGUUGGUGUGUGCCUUACCUUUUCUAAAUAGCUUCUAAAUCCUUCGCAAUGUUUUUCAGUAUGUUGUGAAUCUUCUCUUCUCCCGGCGACUAUAUAAUAUAUAUAUAUACUCCCAAAUUCUGCUGGAAAUUCUGACUUUUCUUUUCAACUUCCAAGUUCCAACUGACUGUGCUCAAA